Paramuricea clavata is the source of this 102-nucleotide non-coding RNA. The record is from the annotation of a GenBank genome assembly. NCBI's taxonomy places the organism in Eukaryota, Metazoa, Cnidaria, Anthozoa, Malacalcyonacea, Plexauridae.
CCUCUUGUUAGCCACCUACAAAAUUAUUAUUAGCAUAACAAUAUGUCUCACACGACAUGAGACAUUAUGCUAAUAAUAAUUUUGUAGGUGGCUAACAAGAGG